RNAcentral lists this non-coding RNA (31 nucleotides) under Mus musculus (house mouse). The record is from RNAcentral. Lineage: Eukaryota; Metazoa; Chordata; Mammalia; Rodentia; Muridae.
UACAUGGCCGGACUACGUUGAGGUAGUGAGA